This 505-nucleotide ribosomal RNA is filed under the name uncultured bacterium. RNAcentral describes it as "partial 16S ribosomal RNA". It matches the Rfam family "Bacterial small subunit ribosomal RNA", at positions 28 to 507 of the family's 1533-position model. The record is from RNAcentral.
GACGAACGCUGGCGGCGUGCCUAAUACAUGCAAGUAGAACGCACAGUUUAUACCGUAGCUUGCUACACCAUAGACUGUGAGUUGCGAACGGGUGAGUAACGCGUAGGUAACCUGCCUGGUAGCGGGGGAUAACUAUUGGAAACGAUAGCUAAUACCGCAUAAUAUUGAUUAUUGCAUGAUAAUUGAUUGAAAGAUGCUAUUGCAUCCCUACCAGAUGGACCUGCGUUGUACUAGCUAGUAGGUGAGGUAACGGCUCACCUAGGCGACGAUACAUAGCCGACCUGAGAGGGUGAUCGGCCACACUGGGACUGAGACACGGCCCAGACUCCUACGGGAGGCAGCAGUAGGGAAUCUUCGGCAAUGGACGAAAGUCUGACCGAGCAACGCCGCGUGAGUGAAGAAGGUUUUCGGAUCGUAAAGCUCUGUUGUAAGAGAAGAACGGGUGUGAGAGUGGAAAGUUCACACUGUGACGGUAUCUUACCAGAAAGGGACGGCUAACUACGUG